AUUGAACGCUGGCGGCAGGCCUAACACAUGCAAGUCGAGCGGAUGAAGGGAGCUUGCUUCUGGAUUCAGCGGCGGACGGGUGAGUAAUGCCCAGGAAUCUGCCUGGUAGUGGGGGAUAACGUCCGGAAACGGGCGCUAAUACCGCAUACGUCCUGUGGGAGAAAGUGGGGGAUCUUCGGACCGCACGCUAUCAGAUGAGCCUAGGUCGGAUUAGCUAGUUGGUGGGGUAAAGGCCUACCAAGGCGACGAUCCGUAACUGGUCUGAGAGGAUGAUCAGUCACACUGGAACUGAGACACGGUCCAGACUCCUACGGGAGGCACCAGUGGGGAAUAUUGGACAAUGGGCGAAAGCCUGAUCCAGCCAUGCCGCGUGUGUGAAGAAGGUCUUCGGAUUGUAAAGCACUUUAAGUUGGGAGGAAGGGCAGUAAGUUAAUACCUUGCUGUUUUGACGUUACCAACAGAAUAAGCACCGGCUAACUUCGUG
Molecule: ribosomal RNA, 484 nt
Filed under: uncultured bacterium
Lineage: Bacteria
Description: partial 16S ribosomal RNA
Rfam family: Bacterial small subunit ribosomal RNA
Source: RNAcentral